UCUGAUUUCCGGCGACUGUACGCUGCCGCUUCCUCCGUCCUCCUCGGGGCGCGGAAGUGGUUGUCUUGGUGACGGGUCCUAACGGUCUCCGACCUGAGAUUCCUGGUUGAGGGGCUGCAACCUGAGCUUCUGUUCUGAGACGCUUUCAGGUCCUUGAAGUGGACGCGGUGGGUGGGUGGCUGGUCCAGCCUUCGACGUGGAGUAAUUUGAAGCUUUCGAGAAAAUUGAAAUAGAACUGGAGAAGAAAACUGACCCAUAAAAAAGAUGUCUCGAAAAAUUUCCAAGGCAUCAAAAAAGGUGAACAUCUCUAGCUCUCUGGAAUCUGAAGAUAUUAGUCUAGAAACAACAAUUCCUACAGACGAUAUUUCAUCAUCAGAAGAACGAGAUGGGAAAAUUAAAAUCACCCAGCAACUAAUUGAACGUAAAGAACUACUUCAUAAUAUUCAGUUACUGAAAAUAGAACUAUCCCAGAAAAAUAUGAUGAUAGACAACUUGAAAGUGGAUUAUCUUACAAAGAUUGAAGAAUUAGAGGAGAAACUUAAUGAUGCUCGUCACCAGAAGCAGCUACUGACAUUGAGAUUAGACAAUCAAUUGACUUUUCAACAGAAGGAUGCCAGAAAAUAUCAAGAACUAAUGAAACAAGAAAUGGAAACGAUUUUAUUGAGACAGAAACAACUAGAAGAGACAAAUACUCAGCUAAGGGAGAAGGCGGGAGAUAUUCGUCGAAAUCUGCGUGACUUUGAGUUGACAGAGGAGCAAUAUAUGAAACUAAAAGGUUUUCCUGAAGAUCAGCUUUCUAUUCCUGAAUACGUAUCUAUUCGGUUCUAUGAACUAGUAAAUCCAUUAAGAAAGGAAAUCUCUGAACUGCAAAUGAAAAAGAAUGACCUAUUAGAAGAAUUGAGUGAAAAUAAAGGCCAAUUGAAACAACUGACAGAGACUUAUGAGGAAGAUCGAAGAAAUUAUUCUGAACUUCAAAUUAGAUGUCAACGUUUGGCCUUAGAAUUAGCUGACACAAAACAGUUAAUUCAGCAAGGGGACUACCGUCAAGAAAACUAUGGUAAAGUCAAAAAUGAGCGCGAUGCCCUUGAACAGGAAAUAAUUGAGUUAAGGAGAAAACAUGAAAUACUUGAAGCCUCUCACAUAACUCAAGCUAAAGAAAGAAAUGAAUUAUCAAAAGAGGUAACCACCUUACAACAAACCGUUACUUUACUGCAAAAGGAUAAAGAGUAUCUCAGUCGCCAAAACAUGGAGCUUAGUGUUCGCUGUGCCCAUGAAGAGGAUCGCCUUGAAAGACUUCAGGCUCAACUUGAAGAAACCAAAAAGGCUAGAGAAGAGAUGUAUGAAAAAUAUGUAACAUCCAGAGACCAUUAUAAAACAGAAUAUGAAAAUAAACUACAUGAUGAACUGGAACAAAUCAGAUUGAAAACUAAUCAAGAAAUUGAUCAACUUCGAAGUGCCUCUCGGGAAAUGUAUGAACGGGAAAACAGAAAUCUCCGAGAAGCAAGGGAUAAUGCUGUAGCUGAAAAGGAACGAGCAGUGAUGGCUGAAAAGAAUGCUUUAGAAAAACAUGAUCAGCUCUUAGACAGGUACAGAGAACUACAACUUAGUUCAGAAAGCAAAGUCACAGAAUAUCUCCAUCAAAGUAAAUUAAAAUCUUUUGAAAGUGAGCGUGUUCAACUUAUACAGGAGGAAACUGCAAGAAAUCUCACACAGUGCCAGUUGGAAUGUGAAAAAUAUCAAAAAAAAAUAGAGGUUUUAACUAAAGAAUUUUAUAGUCUCCAAGGCUCUUCUGAAAAACGCAUUACUGAACUUCAAGCACGGAACUCUGACUAUCAGGCAAGGCUCGACAUUUAUGAGAGAUUGGAAAAAGAGCUUGAUGAAAUAAUAAUGCAAACUGCAGAAAUUGAAAAUGAAGAUGAAGCUGAAAGGGUUCUUUUUUCCUAUGGCUAUGGUGCUAAUGUUCCCACAACAGCCAAAAGACGACUAAAGCAAAGUGUCCACUUGGCAAGAAGAGUGCUUCAGUUAGAAAAACAAAACUCACUGGUUUUAAAAGACCUGGAACAUCAAAAGGACCAAGUAACACAGCUUUCACAAGAGCUUGACAGGGCCAAUUCUCUGUUAAACCAGACUCAGCAACCUUACAGAUAUCUCAUUGAAUCAGUGCGUCAGAGAGACUCUAAGAUUGAUUCGCUGAAAGAGCAUGUUACACAACUUGAGAAAGAUGUCAGCAAUUUGAAUAAAGAAAAGUCAGCUUUACUACAGAUGAAGAAUCAAAUGGCAUUAGAUUUAGAACAACUUCUAAAUCAUCGUGAGAUACCCCAGGAGCAGGAUUUCUGGGUCCUAUGGAAAGUAUAUGUUUAACUUUAUAAGAGACUGCCAAACUAUUUUCCACAGUGACUGCACCUUUUGCAUUCCCGUCAGCAAUGAAUGCGUGUUCCAGUUGUUCCGCAUCCUCGCCAACAGUUGGUAUUAUGAAGCCUAGUUUUUUAAUCCAGUGCAUUUUUUCCAUUGAACUAUCACUGCCUUGUCUUGGCCAUGUUUUUGCCAUUUUGUUAUCCUAACAGAGAAAGAAAUGCUCAAAACAGAUCAUUGGUUUAUAAGUAUCCUGAAGACAUUGUUUCCUAGUCUGGGAAAGCUAUAUCAGGUAUUUGGGAAGAAAUUAUUGGAAAGAUAUUAUUGAGAGAGAUGAAGUGGGGAAUAUUACUGGAAGCAGUUCAGAAGUGCAUAUCCUAGAAGUGGUGUCAGGGGAAUUGCAGGGUUGUCUCUGUCUUAGAAAUGGCCUUUGGAGUAGGUUCUCUUAAAGGUGUAUUUUAUAUGUUGGGUGAAAGGGAUAAGGUGUCCCUGGACUAGAUUUUAGACAUGACUUUUGUGUAGCUAACUAGAUCUAACAACAGGUGAUAUAGAUUAGGAAGAGCUUCUCUGAAGAUACUUACUCUUUUUUUCUGGCUUUCAGGCCCCAUCUACUACCACUUGUGUCCUAAGAUUCUGCCUUCAAAUAGUUGUUUCUUCACUGUGGAAGCCUGAUUCAUUCACUAUGUGGAUUUUCACAAAUGUUUUCCAAAAUUGACUAUUUAGGAAAUAGUAACUGCAGAUGUCCAUUCAGCGAUACCAGCUACUUUUUUUCCAUAAAGCUGCAUAACAAGAAUUGGCGACAAUGAAACAGAUUGUCACCAAUAUGCGCAGUAAGCGUUCUGAGGACCAGUUACUUCUUACUAAAACAGAAGCAAAAAAUAUGACAGAAGAUCAUAAAUCAAAGAUUUUAAAUGUGCCUAGAGAAC
Acinonyx jubatus (cheetah) is the source of this 3278-nucleotide RNA transcript. It is a transcript of the gene named progesterone immunomodulatory binding factor 1, with no coding region annotated. The transcript is spliced from 18 exons. The record is from RefSeq and is a predicted model, not a curated record. Lineage: Eukaryota; Metazoa; Chordata; Mammalia; Carnivora; Felidae.